AUACGUCCUACGGGAGAAAGGGGGCUUCGGCUCCCGCUAUCGGAUGAGCCUAUGUCGGAUUAGCUAGUUGGUGAGGUAAAGGCUCACCAAGGCAACGAUCCGUAGCUGGUCUGAGAGGAUGAUCAGCCACAUCGGGACUGAGACACGGCCCGAACUCCUACGGGAGGCAGCAGUGGGGAAUAUUGGACAAUGGGGGCAACCCUGAUCCAGCCAUGCCGCGUGUGUGAAGAAGGCCCUCGGGUUGUAAAGCACUUUCAGCGAGGAAGAACGCCUAGCGGUUAAUACCCGCUAGGAAAGACAUCACUCGCAGAAGAAGCACCGGCUAACUCCGUGCCAGCAGCCGCGGUAAUACGGAGGGUGCAAGCGUUAAUCGGAAUUACUGGGCGUAAAGCGCGCGUAGGUGGCUUGAUAAGCCGGUUGUGAAAGCCCCGGGCUCAACCUGGGAACGGCAUCCGGAACUGUCAAGCUAGAGUGCAGGAGAGGAAGGUAGAAUUCCCGGUGUAGCGGUGAAAUGCGUAGAGAUCGGGAGGAAUACCAGUGGCGAAGGCGGCCUUCUGGAC
Molecule: ribosomal RNA, 560 nt
Filed under: Halomonas sp. NH89-64(1)
Lineage: Bacteria; Pseudomonadati; Pseudomonadota; Gammaproteobacteria; Oceanospirillales; Halomonadaceae
Description: bacterial SSU rRNA
Rfam family: Bacterial small subunit ribosomal RNA
Source: RNAcentral